This is a long non-coding RNA of Aegilops tauschii subsp. strangulata, 969 nucleotides long. RefSeq lists it as uncharacterized. Lineage: Eukaryota; Viridiplantae; Streptophyta; Magnoliopsida; Poales; Poaceae. The record is from RefSeq and is a predicted model, not a curated record.
UUUAGUCUAGCUUGAGAGUCUUGUCUAAUUGAAACAUGUCUAAAUGUAAUGAAUUUGCUCUGAUUUAGGUGAAAAGUGUCCAUUUUUAUGUAAAAAUCAUCCAAAUAUGAAUGUUAUUGUCAGGUGCAUUCAAAUAGGCAUAAGAUUUGUUUAUUUUUUUUUCCAAAAUGUAACCUGACAUAUGCGGACAACAUUGAAUGGCCGGCUCCCUGUCCGCGGACGGAUGAGGGAGUAAAUUUGGGAGUCAGCAUUGAAGAUGCCCUAAUGCUUUCCUAUAAUUACACAUCUCUGUAUAAUCACACGUCUCUAUGUUAAACUACGGCCCAGAACCAGCAAGGUACACCUCUCUGUAUUAGUAUUAAUAAGACUCAUCAAAUUAUAGGAGAUUUCUUUAUUUAAUACCAUAGAUUUGAUCCAGUCACAUAUAGUGGUGCAUAGUUUAGAGUAUCUCCCAAAUAUAUAUAAGCAUAGAUAUAGACAAAGUAUAGGAUAACAGUAAAUGGAUGUCAUCAUGAAGAUAGAAUGACUUGUACAAAUUUAAGACACUGAUACGGAAAUCUUUGUGAUCUUAUUUGAUUGAACAUGGAGUAAAUGUUCUCUAGCUACAAGCCUACAAAUAUAACCGGCAUCUUCCGGACCUAAAAAACAACCGAGAAGAAGUUUGUGAGUGAUAUUAUGGAGCGGAAACCAAUUCUUCUUUGUCUUAUGGUGCUUCUGCUGCUAAGAAAUUCCACUUAUGCUGAAAAUUGCAAAACGCAAAUUGCUUAUGGGGCCACUCUGUGCGCAUUUUAUACUUGCCUGAGUACAUGCAUAUCUAUAUAUGGGAAACUCGUCAAGCAAGCAGAUUGCAAGCCCGUCAGACCUUAUUAUACUAAUUGUUCUUGCCUCCUCUGCGUCUAGCAUUACUCUUUGCCAUGAUGUAAAACAAUGGGCUAUGAUGUGAGCCAGUAAUAAAAAUAUUAUCCUGAA